Molecule: long non-coding RNA, 6137 nt
Organism: Clupea harengus (Atlantic herring)
Lineage: Eukaryota; Metazoa; Chordata; Actinopteri; Clupeiformes; Clupeidae
Source: Ensembl
AUCCACUCCUGCCCUGUCCCAGAAAUUCUGUUCAUGGUAGCUUUUGUUGUGUUGCUAGUUAAAUGAGGAACCACAAAUAUUAGACUUUUGUUUCUUUCAUUGUGUUCUUUUGGGGCCUUGUAUGGCUGGUGUUCCUGACACUUAUGGAAACCUUUUAGCUAUGGCUUAUCAGGUAGAAGUAAAAAAGGGAACUAUUACAUUGCUUUGCUAUUCAGGUCUUUUGUGUGUGUAAUUCGUGUGAAUUUGAUCCUUAUGGUUCUCAACGUAAUCUACAUUCCUUCCUGUUGUCCCUGCUUGGAAACCGUUUCCACAGAGGUUCGAUGUGAAAGAGAAUCCAUUUGAUCUCUUGCCUCCACCCAGCAACCCUGAUUUCAUCUGACCUCAGGCUGCACCAUGUCUGCCCCAUCCACUGGCACAUUGGCUGCUGGAGGACUUGUUUGCAUCUGAAUCUGAAUUUGCGUCUGAAAAGCAGUGGAAGUUGGCACCGAAUCUUGGCCCUGGGCAGAGGAACAAAGGCAGAGAGGAAGAUAAAAGGAGCCGUGAGGGCAGGCUGUGCUGGGGGGCCACCCCGUGCUCUGUGCUCUCUCAGGCUGGCACAGCGCAUCGGUUCUGUGGGCACCAGCAUGGCAUGCUUCUGCCACCUGCUGGCGGCUGGAUAAUCCUGUUUCUGCAGUGGUCAUGCUUGAUGGCUUAAAGUGUGUAUACGUGAAAUGUGUUUUGUGUGUGUGUGUAGUGGGUAGUGGCCUCACUUGAAAAGCAGUCCACGUACAUUCUUGCCCCUUUUGUUCAGCAGCACAUGGAUACACAACCCCCUACAGGGAACGACAUCAAGAGCUGAGGAGAGACUAAAUGCAAUUAAACACCAAUGAGGGAAAAUAAUGGUGUACCAAAGCAAAAGCUUUAAUCGGUACCUUUGUGUACCUUUCCUGGGAGUCUAAUGGUAAUCUGUUUGUUCUGUUCUCUACAGUUCAUUAGGCAAACAUUUAGCCCGUUGCACUUAGCAAGAACCACACCACGGUAAGUGAUCUCAUGCAGACAGACCAGCUAUUAUGAGUAAUUUCAUGGAAUCAUAACAAACAGGGCUAAACCAGGAGUACACGUGAUUUUAGACUCCUGUGGUUUGGGUCACCAUUCAAGCUGCUCUAUUCUCGCCCUCACUGGGUUCACUUGAAGGUGUCAGACUAGCAUCCUUGGUGAAGGUAAAUACCCCUCCCCUGGAAAGGGACAUAAUACUCUGCUUUGUUUUUAAACUAAGUGGAUUUGAGCUCUUUGUUUGGCAGGGGUUCACUGUGACCUCCUUAGGUCUGGUGAUAUAGCCAACCUGGAGGGGAAGUGUUUGACCAUGCAUGGGCAGCCACCAAGCACACGGUUGGGUUAAUGGCACCCAGGCCAAAGCCAUAUGGUCUCAUGCAAGAGGGGGCUUGCUGCUUAAAUUAGUCCAUUGGGAUGUGAAAGUCAGAGUCAUAGUUCUUCGGUGGCUAUCGAUGGGAAAGCAAUAAAUCAAACCAACUGCCGAUGAACUGCUGCAUGUAUGUAACAUGAUGCCUACGUGGCCAUCAAUAUCUAGUCCAGAAAUGUGGUGACUAACUGCACAGAAGAACCAACACAGACCGCUCUUGGGAACAUGACCACACAUGCUGCAGCAAGGCUAUUCUCAGCUCCCUGCGAGGCCGUCUCCACUGGCUGCGUCGCUGUGUCUAUUGUGUGUAGCGAAGGGCACACGGCAUGGAGUACAAUGGUACACACAGAGGAGACGCACAACAACGAACGGGUGCGAUGGCAUCACUCUCACGUGUACCUCCUCAGCGUCCUCACUGUCAGACACCACGGGUGCCCAAGACCGCUCGGCUCAGCAGCUCGUCGCGCAGAAAAGAACCAUUGUCCCCAUGGUUCUCUCAUCCUCUUAGCUCAUCAGCACAAGGUUGAGAGGUACCAGACAGAGAUCUAUGGCUAACGACAGGAGUAAAGCAGGAGUAGCUGCACUUUAGGUUUGCAUUACUGGGGCUGUCUCUCUUUUGGUGUUUUUUGUUUAUCCCUCUCUCCAUCUCUGUCUCUCGACAUAUUGUUUUCCCUCGCUGUGUCUGUCUUUCUCGCUCUCUUCCCGCCUCUGUCAGUUUUCACUAGGAGCUCUGUGCAUCUUCAAUCCCAGCUGUACUGAAAGGCAGAGGACGAACUGAGCUGAGCUGGAAUCCACAAGUCUGGGAGCAGACGAUUCAACUUGACAGAACUUGGAGACGCAAGGACACGCCAGCAUCUCAAGAGUGAGAACUCUCAACAUCCACUGAUCAAGGAGAUAAGCAUGUCAAGAGAGAGAGAUGGCAACUCUGUUUAUGAACCCAUAUCCCAGUGUGUCAGGGUUACAUAAUCCAACGACCCCCCUCCCCAUAGAAAGCAGGUGGAGGUUGGAAACAGGGGGUCCCAAGGGUCAUCGAUUGUUCUCUGGCUCCUGUAUGGUCGAGAUGAGGACUUACUGGGAGAGCCCCGAAACCUGAGCCUGUCUCCGAGGGGCAUUGGACGGCUGCCAUGCAACCUCUCAGCAACUCUCUGCACCUCGUCAGCCACUUCACACAUGCACACGCUGCCCACGGCUCUGGCAACACUACCUCUAGCCUCCCCUGCGGUGGACCCCUCUCGCUGUGCAACGUCUCAUUAGCGUGAGUACAAUUAUGUAAUGCCAUCAGUCUUUGUCACAUCCCUCGCUGAGUGACCCCGGCCAGGCGGCGACAACGACAACAACAACAACAAACCCGCCAUCAGCCAGAACAGAUCUGUGUGUGAGGAGGUGAGGAGAGACACAGAGGCGCAAAGCAACGGGACUACAAGAAUGGCAUGUAGACAUAAUUUAAAGGGUGGGAGAGGUUGGAUGUCAGCCCAGGUUUCUAAGGUGGGCGGAUGUUGGAGGGAAGGAGGAGAGAGCACUGACUAAUAUAGUAUCAGUGGCCUUUGGCCUGUGCAGUCACAGACAUUUUGACAGGUUACUGACACAGAUGCAAGUCCUUGCUCAAAGACUGCCCGGAUGGAAAAGAGGCGGUUUUAAUUCAUCAGGAACUUAAAUGGAGACCUGCUUCUGCGCCCUCAGCAGUCUGUAGUCAUGAUGAUGGAUCACCUUAGCUUACACACACACACACACACACACACACACAGCCUAAGCAGAUGACGAGAACCACCUUGUAGUGGGAUCUCAUGCCUGGUAACUCUGAUAUCAGCGCACAUCUGACUCAUUUCAAUGCUCUUUAGCUGUCAACAGGCUGACAGAUGUUUUUACAGACACCACACAAAUGAACAUGGCAUUCAAAUAUAUAAAGAGUUGGUGCUGGUGUCAAGAAAGUUACUUUAGGUGGAUAGCUGAGAUUCCUCUCUAAACUUGAAUGUUUUCUAAAUAUUUCAUUUUUAACUACCAAGAGUAAGGCUUAAAUGUAGAGUUGCAGUGAUGCAGUGAAAUUGCAUUGCAUUGCAUUACAGUGUCAAUUAUCAGUACGUUGUAAAGUUAAAGUGGCAGAGCAGACAUAGACAUCAUGCAUCAUUAGUUGGAUUGUGAGACCCGAGAACAACACACUCAAAUCUUUUGUGUGGGUCCCUGUCCUCCGAUUGUGUUUUAUCUGUGAAAUGUUAUCUCUUAUGUCAAAGUCUGAACAUCCACGCUCCAUGUGUGAUGUAUCACCGCUACAGAACAGGUAGUACAGAAUGAUUGAGGUCUAGCAGUCUUACUCCUUCUCUUUCCUGUAUUCUCUCACUCUCUCUCUCUCUGUCUGUCUGUCACUUACACACUCUUUCCAUCUCUUAAGAGGUCAGACAGUAGGAAUGGAGACUUAUCUUGGAAUGAAACUCUCUCAAUGCAGUCUACACAUUUACACGUUCUGUGACUCCAUUUGUCUAGCUGCACUCUUUGACAGAACCAAAGAUGGACAGUUCACUUCACUUGGUCCCCGGGCGCUACAAGCCGCCCACUGCUCCUGGGGGGUCCUUGAGGAAGGACAGUCCAGGAUGGGAAAAAGCAGAAAAUAAAUUCACCGCGACCUCAGGCUUACCUGCGUGUGUGUGUGUGUGUCCUGUGUCGCCUCCAUAUAUGCACGUGUGUGUUCCAGUGUGUCGUGUGUGCCAUUAAAAACCUGACAAAGGUCUUAAAUUAUUUAUUUUUUAUUUGCUAGACCAAAUGAGGGCUGCAUGCUGCCUCUACGCACAGCAGGAAAACACAAUAAACAGAUGGUCAAGUUAACUAAUCUCUCAGUGUCUGUAGCAACUUCAAAAUCACCUGCUUAUUAAAACCCUGAAAGACAGGACAUCCUAAAGUAAUAUAAGAUUUCCUUGCAAAAGGCUCUCUCCCUAAGUGAUGUGUUAAUUUGACUGGUUGCCAUUAUUACAAGCAAAUUGGGUUGUAGAAAGCAGGUCAGUUAUGUAUGUGUCUGAUGUGUAUUUAUUCCAGUAAACUAUUUACCAUUCAUUUAAUGUGCUGUUAGUUGACUGUUCGUCAAAAUGUCUCCUGUCGUUUGUGCUUAAUGUGAUGCUCUGGUGAGCGUGUUUGUGCUCAGCACAUGGAGAGGCAGUCGAUGGGAGUCUGUCAGCGUGUUUACGAGAGACUGCAGCUCUGUGCCUGUGUACUUGCCAUCCCCACGGGUGAUCAACAUUGUGUGCUCCCUGGAAAGAACCUGGGGAACUCAUUAUGCAAACUUCUGGGGAUUUGAUCAAACAAAGAGGGCUCAAACUGUGGAGCGAUAAUAAGCCAGCAGCAAUGUUAUUACAGAUGCUCAGAACACUCAUGCAUUUUGCAAAUAUUUUCUACCAGGUCAUUUGCAUGGGGUUCCCAUUGAAGGUUUGAUCCAGAAAUGUUUGUUUAUAUUCAUGGCUGUCACAUGAAAGACUGGCAGUGGGAGGGACUGUGUAUGUAUCUUUGCAUGUGAAGACUGGUGCAAAGACACAAUGGACACACUGUGCUGUGAUCAUGAAAAUGAAAAAUAAGCUCAUGCCAAAUUAUAUUCUUACACUAGGUUUAUCAGUACAAGUAUCUCUUCAUCAAUCUAUGACAGAUAACUGAUACAGAGUUAAGUUUCCCUUAAUUGAGAGUGGCCACUCAAGACUAUAACUAAAUGAACACGGAUAAAUAUGCAUUGUGUGUUUAUACCUUGUGCUAAACAAAGUCGUCGUCAAUGACGUCAGUGAGGAAGAAUAGGUAAUUUGGUGUUCUUCAUAUAACAUAAUUUUAUCGCAUCAUGCUUCCCAUUAAUGUAUUAUUUACUUUGAAAUGCACAACCUCUGCACCAAUGCACAACUUGCACAAUUGACCACAAUUACGUAGCCUACAGUUAUUUAAUUUGUCCUUAUUUAUACUAACAGCUCAUGUUGUGUUUGCCUGUUAUUCGUGUAAUUUUAGAAGUAGGAUACCGCAGCGUCCAGCAGCUCUGGAGAAACUGUCCCGUCCGUUUCGCACGCAGCAAAUCCUGUUACCCACUGAAUACAAAUUCUCCACAGUGACGUAGGUCCUGCGUCGGAGGGAGGAGAGCGAGCAGGUCGAAGAUGAAUCAUAGCUUACCAAUUCACCUUCAGGCUACUCUAUUGAGUGUCCCGUAGAAAGUGUGUCGACUUUAAAGAGUACAUUUAGUGAACUGCAUUUAUUUAUAUGCCUUAUGACAUAUUCAAUAGCCUUGCAAAAACCACACCCGGCAUGAAAUCUAGCCUACUCCCUCUCUCAAUUUUACCCAAUGCCCACCACGCACAUCUUUUUUAGCCUGGAUAAAACGUGUGGGACAGUUCAUUACGCAUGCUGUUAAUGCAGCACAAGAUGCUAAUAAUAAACAUAAUCCGAACUAUAGCGUUGCAAUUAUAGAGCUGCCCACAAAAAAAAGCAAAUCGUCGCUGCAUUGCAUCAAAGUAAAUGUAACUGUUGUGCAAUAAAGGUACACGUUAAGCCAUAUUUAACUAACAUGGAGAACUGCCAGCUCACAUCACGGUUUUCCCUAUAUGGGGCCUACUUAAAACGUUUGAUCUUUUGAUCUUUUGAAAGAGAGGGAGACCAAUGAGGAAGCUUACUGCAUGUAGGUUAAGAUUCCUCUCUGUUCGCACUUCUGCUCGUUAAAUUGUAAACUACAAGCUCGUGCGUGGCUGGUACCGUUCGCGUUUAUUAAAAUACAGCGCAAUUAUUU